AUGGAGGACGGCAGGAGUACUCAGAGGGAGGAGGGGAAGGAGACAGCGGAGGAACUUCUGGCCCGCCUCACCCUACAGGAGGAGGAAGAGGAUGAUUUUGUUUGGGAAGAGGAGCUACCAGACCUAAUGGAGCUGGCGAAGUGGCUAGCGAUCGCCAGGGUCCACACACCAAAAACCUUUAGCCCUAACGCUCUGUACGGUGACAUGAGGGCGGCCUGGAACCUGGCAAAGACGGUAGUCUAGAGGAAGAUCAUGGAGAACUUGUUUUCGACGCAAUUUGGUUGUCUUGCAGAUUGGAAAAAAGCUAUGUAUGAAGGCCCAUGGCUGUUUAGGGAUCAGGCUGUGAUCCUGGAGGAAUAUGACGGUUUCAAAAACCCUGAUUCGUUCAAGCUGGAUAAGAUUGAGGUGUGGGCUCAGAUCCAUCGCCUGCCUGAUAACUAUCUGAUUGAGUCGGCGGUGAAGGGGCUGGCGUCAAGGAUCGGUGAGGUGGUGGAGGUGCAGUUAAAGCUUCCGGCUGGUUUUUCGGCGAAUAUGUGA
This 537-nucleotide ribosomal RNA is filed under the name Triticum aestivum (bread wheat). RNAcentral describes it as "partial small subunit ribosomal RNA". The record is from RNAcentral. Lineage: Eukaryota; Viridiplantae; Streptophyta; Magnoliopsida; Poales; Poaceae.